This 2617-nucleotide long non-coding RNA is filed under the name Equus caballus (horse). RNAcentral describes it as "lncRNA (ENSECAG00000056416.1)". Lineage: Eukaryota; Metazoa; Chordata; Mammalia; Perissodactyla; Equidae. The record is from RNAcentral.
UAGGCAAAAGAACUCACUACACAAGUUUAAUAUAUUAGGCUUCAAAUUGCGUAUAUUUUAUAUUAAAUAUAUUGAGCAUUCACACACAAACACAAUUUGAGGCUAAAUGUUAAAGUAAAGCAAAUGGCUUUUGACAUUUUAAUUUUCUAAGGUAACAUGGCUAUCAGAUCCAACCUCUCCAGUUAUGAGGGCAUGCUGAAGAAACACUGCACAUUUGUAAAGCUGUUCUUUUACUAUAGAUUUCAGAAAUUCUUUCACAAAAUUUAGAGAAAUGAGCCAUUAAUAUAAGUAAAAUAUCCAGCAUAACUUUCAGUGAAGCUAUAGCUACAUAUUUAUGAGACUCUAUUACAAUUAUAUUAAAAAGAAUCAAACCCAUUUUUUUCUACAAUGUUUUUGCUUACCUAAGAUUCAUUUGAAUAAAUAGACAUAAAAGUUUCGAAAAUGCUAAUUCAAUUGACCACAAAAUCGAUCCUAAAAUUCCAGUUCCAUUUAGCCCUGGAAAUGAGACAUUAAGUAAAAACUUGAGGUUUGAACGUAUGUCAGAAACUGAAGAGACCAUUUUAGUUCAGCUCAAAAACUGCCUUUCAGGAAGAUAGUUUCCUAGAGUAUUAGGUAUUUGAGAUUUUUUUUAGCAGAUAGAGUAAAUAAACUACUGUUUCAGAACUAUACCAGUGUAUAGCUGUAUACAAACCAUGCAGUGAAUAUGAAUCAAGUCAGGAAACCAAGCAGUGACAAUGGAAGAGCCCAGUUUAUUGCCACAUUUUCUUGAUGUGUGCUUUGCUGUGUUUAAAAAAUUUACGGAAAAUUGUUUCAAAUUAAGAUAUUAUGGAAGAAAAUAAUUUCCCAAAUUCCAGUUAACUCAAAAGACCUGAGACACUGCAAUGCCUAUUUUUAUAGUCCUCAUUCUCAACUGUGACGGUAAUACCAACUUGACUUCCAAUUUAUAUCUCCUGACAACUUGGUACAGAAAACGAGUCCUCUUGUAAUUAAAGUUUUAUGUUUUCUUCUAAGUGACUGACUUUUUAAUAUAAAAUAUCUUAAUAAAAUUUUUUCAUCGAUAUGUCAUUUUUAGUUUCAGAACAAACUAAUGUAAUAAGUGAUUUGAAUUUUCUUACAAACCUGUGAAUUGCCCAAGGAAGGCAUUGUCAUACCAUUUUUAAUGAAGAAACAUUGAAGCCCAGAAUAAUUGUAAUUUAUCCAAGGAAACACAUGAAGUAAGUGGUAAAGACGAAAGAAGAAAAAACAACUUGAGAUUUUGCUCAUUAUAUUUUCUAUUAUCAUAGACCUUCAAAAAAAUAGUGUUCUGGUUUGGGAGGAUAAGAAGAGAGUUGAAAUUCAUUUCAAAAUCAGACUCUCCAAUCUUAAUUAGGCUUUAGUUUCCUUACAAAGAGUGUGAGAAUUCUUUAUUUAUUCUUUUAAAAAAAAUCCUAAUUGGGAAAAUGGCAUUAAAUUCUGUGUUUCAAAGUAACAAGAAAAAGAAAUAUGAAUAUUGCUGCUAAGCUGGCACUUCAUCGCUAUGUUGCAAUCCAUUGCCUAUUAUGAGGGAUUCAUUAUCCUAAGAAUGGACAAUAUCAUAGCAAUAUGGCGGACUAGAUAUGCUGAGGGCCACCCUCUCUGCAUAUUGCUAUACUUUUCACUGCAUUGUUGCUUACAAAAUUGCUUAAAAAAUAUAAGGAAAAUGCCACCAAGCCUUACACUUUUGCAAAAAGAAAGAAAAAUUUUAAGAAAGAAAAAGCUGGAUACCUUGAAGGUGAACUAUAAACAAACAGGGACCCUGAAGUUGCUCUGUGGGCAGCUGUCAACCAGUGCUGGGCUUGUGGAAGGCAGCAAGACACCUGCAUUAAGCCAGGACCCACCACAGGGUUAACAUCAUUUGAGGCCAGUUGUGCCCCUAGCUCCCAGAGUAUCUUCAAUCAAAUAUGAAUAAACAAUUAAAAAUCACCAAACACAGAAAACAAACCACCAUGAAUCAGAUGGUUCACAGAAACCCUCAAGUACUUCAGAUAUUGGAAUUAUCAGAAACAAAAAGAAAAAUCCAUGUAUAAAAUGUUUAAAGAAAGAGGGAAUGAAACAGGAAUAAUAAAGAGAUUAUCAGUGAUGGAGAAGUACUUACAAAAGAACCAAAUUGUACAUUUAAAAAUGAAUAAUACAGUCUUUGAAGCUGAAAAGUCAAUGGAGAGAGCAUAUACUACUACAUUUGACACUGCACAAGAGAGACUUGAUAAAAUAAGAGAUAGAUUGGAAGAAAUCAGCUAGGCUGCAGCUUAAAGAGAUAAGGACGAGGAUAAAAUGUGGAGGUCUAACAUACCUUUAACCAUUGUGAUCUCUGUUAUUCAGAAUUUCAGUAGACUAUUUCAUUGCCUUAUUUGACUCCCAUCUUUGAGUGAUGGUUUAACUUUGCCUGAGGCCUCCUCUGUCUGACUUUACAGCAACCUACAACUCUACACUACACAGUUUGAUUUAUUCAGCUAAUGAUCCAUUUAACAAAUAUUGUUAUAAAUGUAAGAAACCUCAAUUCUAGUGAAAAUAAAUUGUGUACAUUCAUCAAAACUUGUGGCACACCUAUGAAAAGUGAGCAGGAUGCCUAAGCAACUUGAAUUAAAGUCAGAUAACUAAA